Molecule: ribosomal RNA, 1298 nt
Filed under: metagenome
Description: bacterial LSU rRNA
Rfam family: Bacterial large subunit ribosomal RNA
Source: RNAcentral
CCACACGACCGUACCGCAAACCGACACUGGUGCGCGAGAUGAGUAUUCUAAGGCGCUUGAGAGAACUCUGGAGAAGGAACUCGGCAAAUUGACACCGUAACUUCGGAAGAAGGUGUGCCUUUAGUAGGUGAAGUCCCUCGCGGAUGGAGCCCAAUGAGGUUGCAAAAAAUCGGUGGCUGCGACUGUUUAAUAAAAACACAGCACUCUGCAAAGACGAAAGUCGACGUAUAGGGUUACGCCUGCCCGGUGCUGGAAGAUUAAAUGAUGGGGUGCAAGCUCUUGAUUGAAGUCCCAGUAAACGGCGGCCGUAACUAUAACGGUCCUAAGGUAGCGAAAUUCCUUGUCGGGUAAGUUCCGACCUGCACGAAUGGCGUAACGAUGGCCACACUGUCUCCUCCAGUGACUCAGCGAAGUUGAAAUGUUUGUGAUGAUGCAAUCUCCCCGCGGAAAGACGGAAAGACCCCAUGAACCUUUACUGUAGCUUUGUAUUGGACUUUGAACAGAUCUGUGUAGGAUAGGUGGGAGGCUUUGAAGCAGGGUCGCUAGAUCUUGUGGAGCCAACGUUGAAAUACCACCCUGGUGUGUUUGAGGUUCUAACCUAGGUCCAUUAGCUGGAUCGGGGACAGUGCAUGGUAGGCAGUUUGACUGGGGCGGUCUCCUCCCAAAGCGUAACGGAGGAGUUCGAAGGUACGCUAGGUACGGUCGGACAUCGUGCUAAUAGUGCAAUGGCAUAAGCGUGCUUAACUGCGAGACUGACAAGUCGAGCAGAUGCGAAAGCAGGACAUAGUGAUCCGGUGGUUCUGUAUGGAAGGGCCAUCGCUCAACGGAUAAAAGGUACUCUGGAUAACAGGCUGAUACCGCCCAAGAGUUCAUAUCGACGGCGGUGUUUGGCACCUCGAUGUCGGCUCAUCUCAUCCUGGGGCUGUAGCCGGUCCCAAGGGUAUGGCUGUUCGCCAUUUAAAGAGGUACGUGAGCUGGGUUUAAAACGUCGUGAGACAGUUUGGUCCCUAUCUUCCGUGGGCGCUGCAGAUUUGAGGAAGCCUGCUCCUAGUACGAGAGGACCGGAGUGGACACACCUCUGGUGUAUCGGUUGUCACGCCAGUGGCAUUGCCGAGUAGCUAAGUGUGGAAGAGAUAACCGCUGAAAGCAUCUAAGCGGGAAACUCGUUUCAAGAUGAGAUCUGCCGGGGCCUUGAGCCCCCUAAAGAGUCGUUCAAGACCAGGACGUUGAUAGGUCAGGUGUGGAAGCGCAGUAAUGCGUUAAGCUAACUGAUACUAAUUGCUCGUGCGACUUGACCU